Molecule: ribosomal RNA, 301 nt
Filed under: uncultured bacterium
Lineage: Bacteria
Description: partial 16S ribosomal RNA
Rfam family: Bacterial small subunit ribosomal RNA
Source: RNAcentral
CAGUAGCCACGGUAAUACGUAGGGUGCAAGCGUUAAUCGGAAUUACUGGGCGUAAAGCGUGCGUAGGCGGUUCGUUAAGUCUGUUGUGAAAGCCCCGGGCUCAACCUGGGAAUGGCAGUGGAUACUGGCAAGCUAGAGUGUGUCAGAGGAUGGUGGAACUCCCGGUGUAGCGGUGAAAUGCGUAGAGAUCGGGAGGAACAUCAGUGGCGAAGGCGGCCAUCUGGGACAACACUGACGCUGAGGCACGAAAGCGUGGGGAGCAAACAGGAUUAGAUACCCCGGUAGUCCCUGUCUCUUAUAC